UUAUUUUGAAAUUGGAAUUUUUAAUUCUGCUUCUAACUAAAAGUUGAUCAUACUCAUUUUUAAUUACUACUAAUACUGCUAUUACCAGGUUUUAACUAUUGACCUCUCCACAACAAUAGUAUAAAUUAUAAUGGAAGCCGAAACACUACCAAACAAAAAAAAACUUCAUAAGGGAAAAUUGAAGAAAGCUAUGAAAUAUGUAAUCUGUAGGCCUGAUCCCAUAUAUUGGCCUGUACUGUCUCAAGAACAUGGAAAACAAUUAGAAUUGGCACUAGGCGAAUAUAAAAUUGACACACCAGUGUUUAAAAAAUUACACUGGAAUGAAUUAAAAUGUAUACCUAAAGAAACAAGACCUAAACCACCACCAAUAAAGAUAGUUGAUGGUUUUAUAUUUGGCACAGCAGCAACUAAAGCAGCAUUAAAGAAUUGUCAGUGCUCUGCAGUAAUAAUAGAAGCAUUAGUAAAUCCCCGAGCAAUUGUACAGCCAGUCAUUGAGGAAUGCAUUAACACAAGAACCCCUAUAGUUUGUUUGACGAAUUUGAAAAAAAUUUGUUUCCAGUAUUUUAGAAUUCCCACAAGUUGUUUAGCCAUUAAAACGGAUAGUCUGCAUAACCUCAAAAAUAAAAUACUUGAAAUUUCGCAAUUCUACAAAAAUGAUCUACAAUUGGAAUCAGAAGAUAAACAUAUAAAUGUGGAUGUAGAAAUGAAAGUUUGCUCACAAGAAGAAAAACCUGUUAAGUCUGUGAACUCUGUCGAAAUUUAUCCAUAUUUGUAUAGAACUAACAAAACUUCCAGAGUAUUUGUACCUGAUGAAGUAAUCACACAAAAGAGAAUGGAGUUUUCAGGUCAAGAUUACAUAAAUUUUACAGACAAAAAGAAACAAGAGAGCACUAAUUACAUGAGAAUGAUUGUAAAGAGAAUAACUAGCAAUCCGAAUAGAGCAAAAAAUAAACGAAAAAUUGAUAUGUAGCACAUAUUUUUUAUUUAUAAAAUACAAAUGAGCUAUGAUGUCAAAAAGACAUUUAUCCUUAUACAUUCAUCAAUGAAUGUAAAAAUUAAUAGGUAGAUGGUAACUUUACAUACAACGUAAAGUUGUUAACCAUCCAGUCUAUUUGUAAACAAAUUUCACCAUUUCUCUGGGAAACAUUUUCCGCAAUAUGAGAUUACGUACCAAACCCGGCACACGACAGGGUCAUGAGGGCGCCGAAGCGGAUCUACAGAUGAUCAUUGACCUUCAACGUGUGCGCAACGUCCAUCCUUGUACCGGUUGUAAUUCAUUAUACUACGAAUUCACCAAAAGCGAUUCUCGAGUUUUUAUUAAUCUAAAAGGCCACGUUAACUGUUUAGAGGGUUUACUUGAAUUAAACGUAUUUUAUUAAUUAGUCAUUGUCGAACGAGAUCCGCAUUGAGACCUAGUUGGCGGAUACUGUAGUUCUAAAUUGAGAUUCAUUUCGGACAGUUUCACUUUGCACGAACGUGUUAUUGCAGAUUAAUGAAAACUAGAGGUCCCGCAAUAGUCGAAAUUCGACUAUAAUUUAUUGGAAUUGUAAGUUUGUACACUAUUAUGAUUAAUUUUUUAUACUUCUAUAAUCACAAAUUUCGCCAAGACUACACUAUAAAGAAAAAAUAUUAACAAAGACAAACAAUAUUUAAUCUAUUCUCAAUUUGACAACAGACAUCAAGAACAAAAGUUUGACAAUAAAUAGUAUGCAUGCGUGUGUGCGUAAAAUACAUGGUAUGUAGUGUGUGUAAUGUUUUCUUUAUUGAUUUAAUGUAUCUUUUAUGCAUUAUUUUACAAAAAAAAUAGCAUUGUGCACUUCUUCUCUAUAUUCUCUAUAAGUGUGGAAAAUUUCAUACUCCUCCGUCCGCGCAAUAGUCGUAAAAAGGGAUACAAAGUUUUUGGUUCACGUAUUAAUAUAAAGAAGAUAAAAUCAACACGAAACAUCAAAACGAUGACGGAAAUGGUUAAUUAUUAAAAGCGUUUACAUGCAUUUUAAAUAUACACGUUGGAUGUCAUCGCGAAUAAUAGCUUCUCAAUAAUAAUAACAUGUGCUGUAAAACAAACAGGUUCUUUUCCUUUCGUAUAAUCCAAAUGAAUUCGUAAUGUUGGAUGUUAAAGUUUAGUAGGCCUCCGCUGGGAGCCAACAUCCGGCUAAUGUCGCACGGAAGCGACCUGCCUUCACGUAAAGCCGGAUACGACUUUCUAAAAGUAUACUGAACAACCUAUUGCAGGUUUAAGGUGACACGGAUUUAGUUGAAAUGCAAAUUUUGAAUGAACGGCGCGGCGUCAAGUUCGUUAUCCAAAAUUUAAUUUUCAAUCUAAUAAUUUAUUUGAUACGUCUGCAUAUAUGUAACAAAAUACAUAAAUUUAUCGUAUUAAAUUUUUAAAACUAAAUAAUAUAUUCAACAGUUCAUGUUCCGUAUUAUUUGAUAUUUUGUUCUUAUAUAAUGCAAGGUUUAUCAUGUCAACUUCUUAGAGCUAUUUAUUUUUCUUCGCGCCGCGAUAGAGAGAGCCAACGUAGGUACCUUUCGAAGAAUUACUAUGUAGAAAAUCGUUGUAGCGUCUAUUUCCUCAUGACGAGUAGCAAACGUUUCAUACAAAACAAAAAAACCCAAUGGAUUAUCCCGCUUUAUUUUAGCAACGUUAAUUUACGCGGGCCAAAAGUUUGUUUACGUUUUUUUUUUUACUUUUUUUCCGAUCAUCUCGUUGUGUUCCAAUAAAAAAAUGGUACGACACAAUGCGUCAUUGUAUUUGGAACAGUAAUUACAAGAUAUUGUUUCUUGUUUUCAAAGCCAAAGCUACAGAAAAACAUUCUAAAUAGAUUAUUCACGAGCCACUAAAUCUAACGAAGGUCAUGCGAUUAUCUGCAAACUAUUCAAUAGAAUUGUUUCUCUUUUUUUUUUCAAUCUAUGAAAGUAUUGCAAAGGAAUCUUAUACGUUUCUCUCUUAAGUACCUUUUUUAAUUUUCUUUCGCUCUAAAAUUUAUUGUUACACUAAACCAAAGUCAACUUACUUACUUACUGGUUUAAUUUCAAAAAUUAUUUAUUUUACAACGUUUGCUAUUUCCAAUACAGGUAAGUUUUCGCGGUUAACUGUUUUUAGGACGCUUUCAUUAUACUAGUGGUCCCCUGCAAUAGUCGAAAUUCGACUAUAAUAAUAAUUAAAUUAUUAUGUUUGAUCACUAUUAAGGUUCUAUUGUCAAAUACUAUUUAUUAUACUUCUUUAAUCACAUAUUUCACUAAGACUAUACUAUAGACAAAUAAUAUUACAAACAACAUUAAUCUAUUCUCAAUUUGACCACAGACUUUAAACAAUAACAAAAGUUUAACAAUAUACAAAGAGUGUAUGUAUAUAUGUGUUGUGUCAAAUACAGGGUAGUGUGUGUAAUUUUUAAUUUAUUGAUUUAAUGUAUUUUUUAUGCAUAGUUUAAAAAUAAAUUAGCAUUCUGCACUCCUUUAUAUUCACUGUAAUUGUGGGAAAUUUCAACUCCUCUGUUCGCGCAAUUUUCUUACAAAGGGGUACAAAGUUUUUGCUUCGCGUAUUAAUAUAUAGAUACCUAAAGCUUAUUUUGAUCGAAUUCAAGAUGUCUGAUUAACUUGAAGAUUUGCACACAAUACAAUUAUUUUAUAACUUCGCUCUGAUAUCUUGAUCAAUAUAAUAAAAUUUAGUUUUUAUUUCGGGUUGAAGUUUAAGCUUUUUUGUUUUGUUUUUAAACUACCUACAUAUAUUAUUAUUGUUUUUAAAAAUCAUGCUUUUUACAUUAUGUUAGAUAAAGGACCUUAAAUUAUAUAUUUAUGUAUGGGAAGCGAGUAAAGAGAAUCGCAGAUGUUAUACAAUUCCGUUCGACUUAAGAAACUUAAGUCAAACUAACUAGCAUACAAGAUUUAUUAUUGUGGAGAAAUGGAAAAGCAGUGGAUAUGUUUUUUUCUUUUUUUUUUCUACCUAAGCUGGUAAGCCUUGAGAGGCUAUUCCAGCGUAACUUUAACUAGUAGGUGAGCUCACGGGGCUCAAACCUGACGACGUUGCUAACACGAACCCUAGCAAGAGCCGUGCUUCGCAGAAUCUACCACCGGAUCGGAAACGCGACCCACUGAGAAGAUCCGGCGAGAUACUCAGUGGGCUGUGUCUGAGGGUUAAUUUACUCGUCGAGCCCUUUGUCGCAAGCGACGGGUUCGACGAGAACGAUGACCGGGUGGAUAUGUGAAUUAAAUAUAAACUAUAUGGAAUAGUUAUAAAAUCGGAAUAUAGCGGAAUCUUCAUGAAUUUAUUUGUUAAGUGAAUUUAUUAAUAUAUUCCUUUUAAUACUGUAUAAACUAUUAUAUGUAUGUAUAUGUGUUUGUGUUAAUAUGUAUAUAUGUAUAUAUCUUUUUGUGUAUUUAUUUGUAAUUUAAUAUAAAUUUUAUUUCACCUACUACUAUUUACUCUGCAUGGUUGACUGGUAGAGAAUGCCUUAGGCAUUAAAUCCGCCAAUGUAAAUUUUACAUGAAGCGUAAUAAAUAAAUUAGUAAAUAAAUAAAUAGGGCAUUUGACAGUAAUACCUGACCCAAAUAAUAUAUUAGGUCUACUGCACCUAAUGUCAGCCUACCUACAUUUUGUAGCAGUUCUAGUUUGAAUUGAAUAUUUAGUGAGUUAUCCGAUUCAAAUCGUAAUUACAUUUGGUUUUCAAUUCAAGAGGUGUGUCGAACGAAUUAAUUAAGGUCCUCCGGUACGCUUUUAAUGUUAAGAUGCAUUACUUUGUUUAAAUUAAACAAUUAUUAUGCAAAUGUACGAUAAUUAUAAUUGAUAAGGAUGACGUCAAUUAGAUCAUUAAUCAAAUUUAUUACUUGAACGCAAAUAAAGGGCAACGGUUAUAAAGUACUAUAUUUACAUAAAGGUUAUCGAAACUUCAGUUUAAAUUGAUUGAUUGAUGCUUUAUAGUUUACUAAACAAUAAUAAUUAUUAUCGUAUUCUCUUGUUAGUUUAGUUUUAAGGGACAUGUUUUUUUAGAUAUCGCUAUUACUAGCUAUUACCGUAGCUAUUACCACAACUAAGACAAACUUUGUUCUUGGAUAUUUUUUUUUAUUAUUAAAAUCUAAAGCCAACUUUCAAGUUCUCCGUGCCGUGUAGCUUUCAUAACGCCGUUUCACGCGCCGAAUCAUAUCUUGCCGCGAUAACGUUGGCUGCCGAUGAAUGAGUACAAUUAGUUCCGUUUUGUGUAGGAGAAAUUCUAUCAGUGGUCCGUUGCAGAGAUAAGAACGACCAAUACGGUGGGAGAGUUCUGGCUACGUCGGAACGCGCCACCUCGUACGAUGUGUGUCGUCACAAUCGAACAGGAUGCGAGCACGCGACACACAUAAUACACAUGUACGAUCACAUGAGCAUUCAUAUUAAGUGCAAACUGAUUACGCGUUGCCAUAACAAUACCGCCUCGAUAAUAGGGUAAAGUGUACAUUAAUCUAUGCUCCAACCUUACAUUCGAUGUGAAACAUAAUUAUGUUGUGUACUAUAAAUCCUUAUAUAAUAUCCUUUUCAUUUUGAUUCAUAUUUUUUGCGUCAUCUGAACUUGAUAGCUUGGUGUGUAUCUGUUUGCUACUUAGAUCGUUAAUAUAUGACUCUUAAUCUCUCACAAAAAAUGCGGAUGCAAAAUAAUAACGCACAAUAUUAAAAAAGAAAUCGAUAUUGUUAUUAGAUAGAUAUUUAUAAAAUUAAAUUAGUACGGGAAGCAAAAACUUUGUACCCUAUUUUACGAAAAUUGCGCGGACGAAGGAGUAUGAAAUUUACUACACUAAUAGAGAAUAUAGAGAAGGAGCGCAAAAUGUUAAUAUUUUUUUAAAUAAUACAUAAACAAUAUGUACAUUAAAUCAAUAAAAAAAACAUUACACACACUACCAUGUAUUUGACACACACACAAUCAUGCAUACUAUUUGUUUAUUGUCAAACUUUUCUUAUUGCUUAUAUAGUCUGUGGUCAAAUUGAGAAUAGAUUAAAUACUGUUUGUCAUAAUAUUAAUAUUUGUCUAAAGUGUAGUCUUGGCAAAAUCUUUGUUUUAAAUAGAACUUUUAUAUUCUUUGACAAUAGAAUCAUAAUAGUGUAAAAAUUUAUAAUUUCAAUUAUAGACGAAUUUCGACUACUGCGGGACCACUAGUAAAAUUAAAUGUUGUAUGCCAUAUACUGUCUAUAACAAUAUAAAUACAGUCUGGUUUAAAGUUUUAAUUAAAAAAAAAACAUGUUUUUUUUUCUAACGUUUAAAUAAUAAAUAUAUCUUUGAACGGA
Bombyx mori (domestic silkworm) is the source of this 6253-nucleotide RNA transcript. RefSeq lists it as uncharacterized. The transcript is spliced from 4 exons. The record is from RefSeq and is a predicted model, not a curated record. NCBI's taxonomy places the organism in Eukaryota, Metazoa, Arthropoda, Insecta, Lepidoptera, Bombycidae.